Molecule: long non-coding RNA, 1407 nt
Organism: Alligator mississippiensis (American alligator)
Lineage: Eukaryota; Metazoa; Chordata; Crocodylia; Alligatoridae
Exons: 3
Source: RefSeq, a predicted model, not a curated record
ACAUCAUUCUGGGAGGCCCACAGUACAACACACAAAAUACCCACACUUAAUCUUUCCAGGUCGAAUACCAAGCAAAGCUAGGUACAAACACACAUCUGGCACAAACUCCUUUCCUCCUUAACCACUUAGGGUGGCAGCUGGUGCAGGCUGCAACAAGAGUUCUGUCUUGCAAGGACAAACACGCGCGGGAGAGGAAGAGCAGCAGUAGCAGCAUACUAACGGCGAACGUAGCAGGACAGGAGUGUGGCAGGCAAAAUUGUACCAGGCAUCCUGACAGCGCACAUCUCCUAAGGGGCAGCACGUCCCUGAAGAUAAGGACCAGCCUGUACCCAGAAGAACCCCUCUUUAGCAUGUUCCCAAUAUGCUUAAUCACCACAUUUGUCAAAGCAGAAGAGGCCCCACAGACUGAAGCUGGAAGACCAGACCUCUGGGAUCGGUACCCCAUGCACUUCUCUCUACUUCUUUGCUCUUGGCUAAGUGAUGGCACCAUCAGCAUUAGGAAAUUUGCUUCUUUGAUUUUGUUGGCAGCUCUGUGUACUCAACCUGGGAUCUGAAAGUCAAGCUGUGUUCUCUUCUGACUCAUGUAUCAUCACCCAGAAGAAGUUUUCUACCAUCAAAAUAUAGUUAACAAGUCUACCUAUGGUGCACGAACCAAAAUAAAGCCAAGUUCCCUCUCUCAUACCACUGCAGAGCCAGCACAGCUGACAGGAGUAACAAGUAGUAAAAUCUUAGUAAAAUAAUCAGAGCUGAUGCUGGGUACACAGUGUCAUCAAGUCUGUGGAGAAAACACGUUGGGGUUUUUUAAGUCACUUUCCUGACCAAAAUUGCAUUUUAUAAAACACUAUUGUUCUCUAUGUAUUUGGAAACAUAUUUUGCCCACUUUAUCUGCUAGGGUGUAGGAUACCACUGAACUCUGUUAAGCAGCACCCAUUUUCCUGUAUGUUUUUUGUUGCUCAGAUGGUUUUUAUAGUGGUUGAGCUGAUAAACUCAUGCUGACGGAAUAUUCUCAGGAGCUUUGGGGAGCAGCAUGAACACAGCAUUUGCAAUCAGGUAUAUACAAAUCUCAAGAUUUUUUCCAAUGUAUGUCUGCACAUUUAUGCCUGAGCUCCACAGACUGACGUAUCUCUUGUAAGGUGUCAGUUUUAUAUUUCUAGUGUGUAUUAAGUGGACCCUCAGUUACUCACGUACAUUUGUAAGAUGUGUGAAUGCAGAAAAUAUUAUCUAAUAUAUGUACUAGGUCAUUAUCAAUAAUGAAAUUAAGCCUGCAUCUGUAUAUGACAACUUUUAUAUAAGUAUCCCUACAGUGCAAGUGUAGUGUUUAGGCUAGGUCAAGGUAUAGCGCAAUUGUAGUUGGGGUCUAAACCGUAGCCAGCCCUAGUAUGUGCAUAUUAAAGCAUUCAAUUUGAA